This 319-nucleotide ribosomal RNA is filed under the name uncultured eukaryote. RNAcentral's name for it is "partial 18S ribosomal RNA". It matches the Rfam family "Eukaryotic small subunit ribosomal RNA", at positions 1470 to 1796 of the family's 1831-position model. The record is from RNAcentral.
CCCUUAGAUGUUCUGGGCAGCACGCGCGCUACAAUGGUCUUCGCAAACGGAUGCAUUCUCGAAGGAGGAUGCCAAUCUUGGAAUCUAUGCCUUGGUCGGGACAGUUGCUUGCAAUUUUUCGACUCGAACCAGGAAUUCCUUGUAAUCGUGAUUCAUCACAUCACGAUGAAUACGUCCCUGCCCUUUGUACACACCGCCCGUCGCUCCUACCGAUCGAAGAGUUAGGUGAAUUGUUUUGAUCGAUAAGAUUUGACUAUGGUCAACUCUCGUUGUGAAAUUCUGUGAAUCUGACUGUUUAGAGGAAGGAAAAGUCGUAACA